RNAcentral lists this transfer RNA (72 nucleotides) under Fukomys damarensis (Damara mole-rat). It matches the Rfam family "tRNA". Rfam says of the family: Transfer RNA (tRNA) molecules are approximately 80 nucleotides in length. The record is from Rfam by way of RNAcentral. Lineage: Eukaryota; Metazoa; Chordata; Mammalia; Rodentia; Bathyergidae.
UUGGGUGUGGCUUGGUGGUAGAGCACUUGCCUAGCAUGCAUGAGGCCCUGGGUUCCAUCCCCAACACUGAGG